RNAcentral lists this non-coding RNA (176 nucleotides) under Mediterraneibacter gnavus. Lineage: Bacteria; Bacillati; Bacillota; Clostridia; Lachnospirales; Lachnospiraceae. The record is from RNAcentral. RNAcentral also lists the same sequence under 1 other name.
CAAUGUGCAGACGGCUUCAGUGUUUUGGCUUAAUAAGGAACAAUGUGCAAUUCAUUGGCAGCUUAUCCCUGAGGUAAGGCGGACAAAAUUUCAGAUACCAUUGCAGAGAAUUCUGUGAGAAGGUGAAAUGGCGGGAGAUGCCAAGCCCUAAGACUUGCUGAAGUCAUCUUACGAUU